RNAcentral lists this ribosomal RNA (484 nucleotides) under uncultured bacterium. Its description in RNAcentral is "bacterial SSU rRNA". It matches the Rfam family "Bacterial small subunit ribosomal RNA", at positions 28 to 517 of the family's 1533-position model. The record is from RNAcentral.
GACGAACGCUGGCGGCGUGCCUAACACAUGCAAGUCGAGCGAGAAUUUAGCAGAGGAUUCCUUCGGGAUGAAUCUAUUAAAGGAAAGCGGCGGACGGGUGAGUAACGCGUGAGUAACCUGCCUUCAGGAGGGGGACAACAUUUCGAAAGGGAUGCUAAUACCGCAUGAAAUUGCUUUAUCGCAUGGUAGAGCAGUCAAAGAUUUAUCGCCUGAAGAUGGACUCGCGUCUGAUUAGCUAGUUGGUGAGGUAACGGCUCACCAAGGCGACGAUCAGUAGCCGAACUGAGAGGUUGAUCGGCCACAUUGGGACUGAGACACGGCCCAGACUCCUACGGGAGCAGCAGUGGGGAUAUUGCGCAAUGGGGGAACCCUGACGCAGCAACGCCGCGUGAAGGAUGAAGUUUCGGAUGUAAACUUCUUUAAGUGGGGAAGAUAAUGACGGUACCCACAGAAUAAGCCACGGCUAACUACGUGCCAGCAGCCG